AAGUCUGACGGAGCACGCCGCGUGAGCGAUGAAGGCCUUCGGGUCGUAAAGCUCUGUUGUUAGGGAAGAACAAGUACCGGAGUAACUGCCCGUACCUUGACGGUACCUAACCAGAAAGCCACGGCUAACUACGUGCCAGCAGCCGCGGUAAUACCUAGGUGGCAAGCGUUGUCCGGAAUUAUUGGGCGUAAAGCGCGCGCAGGCGGUUUCUUAAGUCUGAUGUGAAAGCCCACGGCUCAACCGUGGAGGGUCAUUGGAAACUGGGGAACUUGAGUGCAGAAAAAGAAAGCGGAAUUCCACGUGUAGCGGUGAAAUGCGUAAAGAUGUGGAGGAACACCAGUGGCGAAGGCGGCUUUUUGGUCUGUAACUGACGCUGAAGCGCGAAAGC
This 388-nucleotide ribosomal RNA is filed under the name uncultured bacterium. Its description in RNAcentral is "bacterial SSU rRNA". It matches the Rfam family "Bacterial small subunit ribosomal RNA", at positions 379 to 760 of the family's 1533-position model. The record is from RNAcentral.